Molecule: non-coding RNA, 31 nt
Filed under: Mus musculus (house mouse)
Lineage: Eukaryota; Metazoa; Chordata; Mammalia; Rodentia; Muridae
Source: RNAcentral
UCCACGACCAGGUAGCCGGCUGUGGGCAACU